CCGGCGGUAGCGCAGUCUGGUAGCGCGCCUGCUUUGGGAGCAGGAUGUCGGGGUUCGAAUCCUCCACCCGACCA
This 74-nucleotide transfer RNA is filed under the name Billgrantia gudaonensis. RNAcentral describes it as "Halomonas gudaonensis tRNA-Pro". It matches the Rfam family "tRNA". Rfam says of the family: Transfer RNA (tRNA) molecules are approximately 80 nucleotides in length. Their secondary structure includes four short double-helical elements and three loops (D, anti-codon, and T loops). Lineage: Bacteria; Pseudomonadati; Pseudomonadota; Gammaproteobacteria; Oceanospirillales; Halomonadaceae. The record is from RNAcentral.